CAACCCUCAAGCUCUGCUUGGUGUUGGGGCCCUACAGUCACCUGUAGGCCCUGAAAACUAGUGGCGGGCUCGCUAUAACUCCGAGCGUAGUAGAAACACCUCGCUUUGGACGUGAUGGCGGGAUCCGGCCGUUAAACCCCCCAAUUUUCUGAA
Molecule: unclassified non-coding RNA, 153 nt
Filed under: uncultured Cordana
Lineage: Eukaryota; Fungi; Ascomycota
Description: sequence contains ITS2
Source: RNAcentral